Heterocephalus glaber (naked mole-rat) is the source of this 547-nucleotide long non-coding RNA. The record is from Ensembl. Lineage: Eukaryota; Metazoa; Chordata; Mammalia; Rodentia; Bathyergidae.
AGGUGGCACCCAGAGCCUUGUGUAUGUUAAGAGGAUGUUUCAGUACUGAGUCUUACACUUGCUUACCUGAGCAGCUUUUACAAAGUUGGUUCCACCCAUCAGUCAAGUAGGACAAGAGGAAGGCACAUUUCUGGAGACCUGGGACAUAAGAAGAGAGAGAAUGGAAAAGGAAAAUAGACACGCAGCAUUCGAAUUCAAAAAGUGUGGAAAGCUUUGGAGCAUCAGUUUCUGUCUGUCAGAUUUAAAACAGUGCUGCUGUCUGAAACAUCUAAGAGAUUUUACAGUUCCUCUAUGAAUUUGAUGAUUUCUUGCUAGAUGUCUCAAUAGUACAUGUAAAGAUAAUCAGUCUAUCCAAUAUUUUGCCUUCUAUUUGAAUUACUGGAAGUAACAAGAAAGCCUGUUUAAACAAAAGUGAUCAGAAACAUCCAAAGAUUCCAUAGGAUAUCCCUGCUCAGUAAUAAUGGCAAAAAUUCUUCAUACAAAAGUCUCCUGAACUAAGAAAACCUUACAUUAUGGAUAUUCAGAAUUAUGGAAAAGAUAAAGGAAG